Long non-coding RNA from Cyphomyrmex costatus, 348 nucleotides. RefSeq lists it as uncharacterized. The record is from RefSeq and is a predicted model, not a curated record. NCBI's taxonomy places the organism in Eukaryota, Metazoa, Arthropoda, Insecta, Hymenoptera, Formicidae. The transcript is spliced from 3 exons.
GCAAAAUUAUCGUUAUUGUUUUUGAUAACGUGAUAAGAUGAAGCUUUAUAAGGCGUGCGACCUCGCUAUUGAAUGUUUCCAAGGAAUACUAUUUGAAAAUUAUGUGAAAACGGCUUUCGACGUGGAAAUUGAACAAAUGAGCGUGUGUCGAUUCUCAUGUGCUAUCUAAAUUGCAAGUUCACUUUGAGGCAACAUCUAACAACGUACAGUUGGCAUAGGCAAGUAAAAUUUGCUAUGACAACAGUACCUCGGAAACCAACUUAAUAUUUAAGGAAGAAAGAAUAAGUUACAUCUUUUUAUAUGAAGUCGCAAAAACUUCUACAUUAUAAAUAGAUUUCCACAUUUUGA